GUGGCGAACGGGUGAGUAACACGUGAGCAACCUGCCCCUCACUCUGGGAUAAGCGCUGGAAACGGCGUCUAAUACUGGAUACGAGAUGCGACCGCAUGGUCAGUGUCUGGAAAGAUUUUUUGGUGGGGGAUGGGCUCGCGGCCUAUCAGCUUGUUGGUGAGGUAAUGGCUCACCAAGGCGUCGACGGGUAGCCGGCCUGAGAGGGUGACCGGCCACACUGGGACUGAGACACGGCCCAGACUCCUACGGGAGGCAGCAGUGGGGAAUAUUGCACAAUGGGCGGAAGCCUGAUGCAGCAACGCCGCGUGAGGGAUGACGGCCUUCGGGUUGUAAACCUCUUUUAGCAGGGAAGAAGCGAAAGUGACGGUACCUGCAGAAAAAGCACCGGCUAACUACGUGCCAGCAGCCGCGGUAAUACGUAGGGUGCAAGCGUUAUCCGGAAUUAUUGGGCGUAAAGAGCUCGUAGGCGGUUUGUCGCGUCUGCUGUGAAAUCCCGAGGCUCAACCUCGGGCCUGCAGUGGGUACGGGCAGACUAGAGUGCGGUAGGGGAGAUUGGAAUUCCUGGUGUAGCGGUGGAAUGCGCAGAUAUCAGGAGGAACACCGAUGGCGAAGGCAGAUCUCUGGGCCGUAACUGACGCUGAGGAGCGAAAGGGUGGGGAGCAAACAGGCUUAGAUACCCUGGUAGUCCACCCCGUAAACGUUGGGAACUAGUUGUGGGGUCCUUUCCACGGAUUCCGUGACGCAGCUAACGCAUUAAGUUCCCCGCCUGGGGAGUACGGCCGCAAGGCUAAAACUCAAAGGAAUUGACGGGGACCCGCACAAGCGGCGGAGCAUGCGGAUUAAUUCGAUGCAACGCGAAGAACCUUACCAAGGCUUGACAUACACGAGAACGGGCCAGAAAUGGUCAACUCUUUGGACACUCGUGAACAGGUGGUGCAUGGUUGUCGUCAGCUCGUGUCGUGAGAUGUUGGGUUAAGUCCCGCAACGAGCGCAACCCUCGUUCUAUGUUGCCAGCACGUAAUGGUGGGAACUCAUGGGAUACUGCCGGGGUCAACUCGGAGGAAGGUGGGGAUGACGUCAAAUCAUCAUGCCCCUUAUGUCUUGGGCUUCACGCAUGCUACAAUGGCCGGUACAAAGGGCUGCAAUACCGUGAGGUGGAGCGAAUCCCAAAAAGCCGGUCCCAGUUCGGAUUGAGGUCUGCAACUCGACCUCAUGAAGUCGGAGUC
RNAcentral lists this ribosomal RNA (1226 nucleotides) under Microbacterium azadirachtae. Its description in RNAcentral is "bacterial SSU rRNA". It matches the Rfam family "Bacterial small subunit ribosomal RNA", at positions 95 to 1333 of the family's 1533-position model. Lineage: Bacteria; Bacillati; Actinomycetota; Actinomycetes; Micrococcales; Microbacteriaceae. The record is from RNAcentral.